This 1530-nucleotide ribosomal RNA is filed under the name uncultured bacterium. RNAcentral describes it as "bacterial SSU rRNA". It matches the Rfam family "Bacterial small subunit ribosomal RNA". The record is from RNAcentral.
AGAGUUUGAUCCUGGCUCAGAUUGAACGCUGGCGGCAGGCCUAACACAUGCAAGUCGAGCGGAAACGAUGGAAGCUUGCUUCCAGGCGUCGAGCGGCGGACGGGUGAGUAAUGCAUAGGAAUCUGCCCGGUAGUGGGGGAUAACCUGGGGAAACCCAGGCUAAUACCGCAUACGUCCUACGGGAGAAAGCAGGGGAUCUUCGGACCUUGCGCUAUCGGAUGAGCCUAUGUCGGAUUAGCUGGUUGGUGAGGUAACGGCUCACCAAGGCGACGAUCCGUAGCUGGUCUGAGAGGAUGAUCAGCCACAUCGGGACUGAGACACGGCCCGAACUCCUACGGGAGGCAGCAGUGGGGAAUAUUGGACAAUGGGCGAAAGCCUGAUCCAGCCAUGCCGCGUGUGUGAAGAAGGCUUUCGGGUUGUAAAGCACUUUCAGUGGGGAAGAAAUCCUCGGGGCCAAUACCCUCGAGGGAGGACAUCACCCACAGAAGAAGCACCGGCUAACUCCGUGCCAGCAGCCGCGGUAAUACGGAGGGUGCGAGCGUUAAUCGGAAUUACUGGGCGUAAAGCGCGCGUAGGCGGCGUGAUAAGCCGGUUGUGAAAGCCCCGGGCUCAACCUGGGAACGGCAUCCGGAACUGUCAGGCUAGAGUGCAGGAGAGGAAGGUAGAAUUCCCGGUGUAGCGGUGAAAUGCGUAGAGAUCGGGAGGAAUACCAGUGGCGAAGGCGGCCUUCUGGACUGACACUGACGCUGAGGUGCGAAAGCGUGGGUAGCAAACAGGAUUAGAUACCCUGGUAGUCCACGCCGUAAACGAUGUCGACUAGCCGUUGGGGUCCUUGUGACCUUUGUGGCGCAGUUAACGCGAUAAGUCGACCGCCUGGGGAGUACGGCCGCAAGGUUAAAACUCAAAUGAAUUGACGGGGGCCCGCACAAGCGGUGGAGCAUGUGGUUUAAUUCGAUGCAACGCGAAGAACCUUACCUACUCUUGACAUCGUGCGAACUUGGUAGAGAUACCUUGGUGCCUUCGGGAACGCACAGACAGGUGCUGCAUGGCCGUCGUCAGCUCGUGUUGUGAAAUGUUGGGUUAAGUCCCGUAACGAGCGCAACCCUUGUCCCUAUUUGCCAGCGAUUCGGUCGGGAACUCUAGGGAGACUGCCGGUGACAAACCGGAGGAAGGUGGGGACGACGUCAGGUCAUCAUGGCCCUUACGAGUAGGGCUACACACGUGCUACAAUGGCCGGUACAAAGGGUUGCGAAGCCGCGAGGUGGAGCUAAUCCCGAAAAGCCGGUCUCAGUCCGGAUCGGAGUCUGCAACUCGACUCCGUGAAGUCGGAAUCGCUAGUAAUCGUGAAUCAGAAUGUCACGGUGAAUACGUUCCCGGGCCUUGUACACACCGCCCGUCACACCAUGGGAGUGGACUGCACCAGAAGUGGUUAGCCUAACUUCGGAGGGCGAUCACCACGGUGUGGUUCAUGACUGGGGUGAAGUCGUAACAAGGUAGCCGUAGGGGAACCUGCGGCUGGAUCACCUCCUU